UACAAAAUCUUUAAUAAAAACUUGAGGCCUG
RNAcentral lists this non-coding RNA (31 nucleotides) under Rattus norvegicus (Norway rat). The record is from RNAcentral. Lineage: Eukaryota; Metazoa; Chordata; Mammalia; Rodentia; Muridae.